RNAcentral lists this ribosomal RNA (497 nucleotides) under uncultured bacterium. RNAcentral's name for it is "partial 16S ribosomal RNA". It matches the Rfam family "Bacterial small subunit ribosomal RNA", at positions 28 to 507 of the family's 1533-position model. The record is from RNAcentral.
GAUGAACGCUGGCGGCGUGCCUAAUACAUGCAAGUCGAGCGAACAGACGAGGAGCUUGCUCCUCUGACGUUAGCGGCGGACGGGUGAGUAACACGUGGAUAACCUACCUAUAAGACUGGGAUAACUUCGGGAAACCGGAGCUAAUACCGGAUAAUAUAUUGAACCGCAUGGUUCAAUAGUGAAAGACGGUUUUGCUGUCACUUAUAGAUGGAUGCGCGCCGCAUUAGCUAGUUGGUAAGGUAACGGCUUACCAAGGCAACGAUGCGUAGCCGACCUGAGAGGGUGAUCGGCCACACUGGAACUGAGACACGGUCCAGACUCCUACGGGAGGCAGCCGUGGUGAAUCUUGCGCAAUGGGCGAAAGCCUGACGGAGCAACGCCGCGUGAGUGAUGAAGGUCUUCGGAUCGUAAACCUCUUUUAUUAGGGAAGAACAAAUGUGUAAGUAAAUAUGCACGUCUUGACGGUACCUAAUCAGAAAGCCACGGCUAACUACGUG